GGCUGGUCCGAUGGUAGUGGGUUAUCAGAACUUAUUAACAUUAGUGUCACUAAAGUUGGUAUUCAACCCCCCACUGCUAAAUUUGACUGGAAAA
RNAcentral lists this Y RNA (94 nucleotides) under Propithecus coquereli (Coquerel's sifaka). Its description in RNAcentral is "Y RNA (ENSPCOG00000005856.1)". It matches the Rfam family "Y RNA". From Rfam's summary of the family: Y RNAs are components of the Ro ribonucleoprotein particle (Ro RNP), in association with Ro60 and La proteins. Lineage: Eukaryota; Metazoa; Chordata; Mammalia; Primates; Indriidae. The record is from Rfam by way of RNAcentral.